GGGCUGCACUUCAUGCUUCAGACCUCUUCAGUUGUGCGGCAAGGCUUGUAUCGCCUUGAGCGUAUUUGUGGGUUUUCUGUGUUGACUACCUAAUCAAUGGAAUUGGUUGGAUUGAUCAAUGUUUCAUUUCGUCUAUCAUCGCAUUCGCGGCGUGAGAUGAACCUUGAUGCGGUCUCUUUGAUCCACCUCGUCGAAGCACAUGCUUUGACGUUGUGGCACAUUGAGCAUUGCUUGGUCUCUUGUAUACGGAACAUAUAGUGGGCAUGGAUCUAACGAUUCUCGUUUGCCCUCAUAUUAGCGUAACGCUUCUCUUACACGACUUGCUCCACGUUUUAGCUCGUACGGACGUGGUGCUAUGUCGAAGAGGAAUGCUACCUGGUUGAUCCUGCCAGUAGUCAUAUGCUUGUCUCAAAGAUUAAGCCAUGCUUGGUGUAAGUA
RNAcentral lists this unclassified non-coding RNA (438 nucleotides) under Artemisia baxoiensis. RNAcentral describes it as "Artemisia sp. BJ-2018 partial external transcribed spacer". The stretch from base 373 to 438 matches the Rfam family "Eukaryotic small subunit ribosomal RNA", at positions 1 to 65 of the family's 1831-position model. Lineage: Eukaryota; Viridiplantae; Streptophyta; Magnoliopsida; Asterales; Asteraceae. The record is from RNAcentral.